AUCCUUGGAACCAUUAAUGGUACCAAAACAUGCCCUUAGUCUUAUCUGUUGGUCCCUGAAGUAACACCACUCAAGGCCAAUAAUGAGGCGCUGAUGAAGUAGAGGACGCAAGGAGAGGAAGCAAGAAGAGGAAACAAGGAGAGGAAGCAAGGAGAGGAAGCACAGAGAAGAAGCAAGGCGAGGAAGCCAUUUUAGACCAACGAGAUGUAGGCCCUACCCCCAACCUAGUCAUCCAGGGCUUCUUCAGACACUACAGCAGACGACUGGACAUCAAAAGCACCAAGGACAGUUUGUGAAAGAGAGAGUUGAACCAGUGGUGCACCACCUAAACCUCCCAAAACAGUUGUCUGUUUUCCUGGCAACCAAUCUAAUAAUGAAGGAGGUCCUAAUAGUGUUUAUGGAGACUGAACAGAAAAGACCAGUGUUACCAGACUGGAAGCAUUUACCACCAAGGUAAUAAAGCACAGGGCUGUUUAGCUCCCCAACUGUUGAGUUAGCGAAAUAGCUCGUCUCCCAUUCUGUAAUUCAACAACAAUUCCUGUAAAGGUGUUUCGAAGCGGUGUGGUGGGCUGGUGUGAGCCUGGGACAAGCGUAGCGGAGCGGUUUAGCGUCAUUUACACGUGAUAAAAACUGGGCCUUAACUGGAAGCAGCAGGUCUGUCUGGAAUGGGGUUCUCAAGCUGAUAUACACAGAGACAUACAGGAGCCUCAAGUCUAACACACACACACACACAGUAAUGAGACCCAUGGCCAAAAUAGAUGCACACACAGAAACACACAGUGCUGCUAGUUCAUUUACAGCACCUAACUACCUGUCUAAUCUAAGCCAGGUCUAAUUGGUAGCUUUAAGCCCGCAGUGGGCCCUUUAUCCACUAUAGGCCUGCGGUGAAAAGGUUUACAGCAUAAACAUCUGCAAAACAGAGGGACAUUCUCCAUCACCAACGGAGCUGCAUCCUGUAGUCGAGCUCCUCAGGGCAAUGUUUCAUUAACAGCUAUAGGUUGAGACAGAGAAUACGAAAAAAAUAAAAGUAUUGAUUUCUAAAUGGUAGGCCUACCUAAAACCUUCAUCAACACAAGCUAAUUAUUAUUUUUGCAAUAGCAUAUAUGACAUGUAUUUAUUAAACUGUUAAAAUGCAUUGGCUCAGAACGGAUUACUAGAUGCAUACUUUUUUAGUGUCAGAUAUACACAAUAUUAUAUGACAAGAUCCAGCUAAAAAAAGGACCUUAUGCAUUUCAGCUAAAAUAACAAGUCAAUGUUGAUCUCCCA
This 1266-nucleotide long non-coding RNA is filed under the name Salmo salar (Atlantic salmon). RNAcentral describes it as "lncRNA (ENSSSAG00000106833.1)". The record is from RNAcentral. Lineage: Eukaryota; Metazoa; Chordata; Actinopteri; Salmoniformes; Salmonidae.